Molecule: long non-coding RNA, 1587 nt
Organism: Chinchilla lanigera (long-tailed chinchilla)
Lineage: Eukaryota; Metazoa; Chordata; Mammalia; Rodentia; Chinchillidae
Source: Ensembl
GAUGGCUCUUGUUUGGGGUCUGCAGAGGGCUAGCUGCCGUGCAAAAGAAGGGUCUUUUUUUUUUAUCUUUAUAUUUUUAUUUAUUUUUUUCUCAGUUUUACCUGACAUUUUUAUUGGCACGUUUUAGAUAUACAUAAUAAUAGCAUUCAUCAUAAGGAAUUUGUACCUGUAUCUGGUAUAUCUUGCUUCUUUUUUUUUUUCCAUUCCCCUCCCCUCCCUUGAACACCUCUUCCCCUCUUGUUUUUUUUUUUUUUUUUUUUUUUUUUUUCCAGUACCAGGAAUUGAACUCAUGACCUUGCGCUUGCCAGACAGACGCUUUGCCACUGAACUAAAUCCCCAGCCCCCCUCUUGUUUGUUUUUGAGACAAGAUCUUGCUAUGUAGUUCAGGCUUUCCUUGACUUGCGAUGUACCCCAGGCUAGUUUAAAACUUGCAGUGAUUCUCCUGCCUCAGUCUCUCAAGUGUUGGAUUUCAGGUGUGUGCCAUGUGCUACCAUGCCUAGCUAGGAGGGGUCUUUUAGGAGCCAGAAUCUGCAGCCUGUUGAUAGAAUAAACUGUCAUAUGAAGGGAGAAGUGCUUCCAGUGGCAUUGGCAAUCCUGGGCCUCACAGCAGCAAGGACACCACAAAGCCUAUGGGGAGGAGGGAGGCUGAGCAUCCUGUCCUCUUCCUGGCAAAGCCACCCAUCCCUGUUCCCUGCAGCUUCACCCCCCCACUUCCACCCUGUUUCAUUAGGAGGCGCUCCUUCCUUCCUCCACACAGGCUCCUGACUCUGCCCCUUGAUUCUGGGGACAGCUCUGGUCCCAAGUAAACCUCCCCAAGGAAGAUGUUCAGAGAGACGCCCACCGGGGAUGAGCCCAGAUGUGGUCAUUUCAUCACAGAAAACCUCAGCUCGUGGCAGACCAUCUGGCCCAGUGACUUGCCGCCUGUCCCUGAGACAGCAGACUCAGGUGUGCCGUGUUGCUGCAAUGGCUGUGGAGAGAGUUCGCGUGGAUCUGGAGUCUUUGUGAACCCAACAUUUCCCAGUGAGUUUUCACUGUAGUUUCACUUGUGCCCCAGGAUCCUUGCUCUGCCCGGGGUUCCUCAUUUUACCCACUGAUUUAUCCAGAAAUUCAUGUCACUGCUGGCUGUCCCCUGAGCAGGUACUUAGCGCCUUUGGUAAACGGUGACUGCAUGUGCUGGGUGUGGGGCUGAGGCACUCUCCAGAUACGAAAGCUUUUGUCUCACACAGAAAGUAUUUUGUAAACUUGAUGACUGCCCUUGCUUUGACUUUCUUGCUUUCUUUUUUCUUUUUGUGUUUUGUUUUAAUUUUUGACAUAUUUAAUCAUGAAAUAAGACACACAUUCAGAAGUACAUAAAACUCAAAUGCGCCCUGUAACAGAAUCAUUAUAAAGCCAAGCGGAUGCAGAUAAGGGGGAAGAUGGAAAAGAAGUAGAUCUGUGAGAGGUUGCUGCAGGGGCUGCCAGAGUCACAAAGCCUUCUGGGAAAGGGACGCUGGAGGAAGGAGGCCCUCAGGUAAAACAAUCUGCCCAAGGGGACAGGGAAGGCCUGCUGUGGCCUUUGGGUGCCCUGUGGCACAGACCAGAAUCCAA